Molecule: ribosomal RNA, 1350 nt
Filed under: uncultured bacterium
Lineage: Bacteria
Description: partial 16S ribosomal RNA
Rfam family: Bacterial small subunit ribosomal RNA
Source: RNAcentral
GACGAACUCUGGCGCGCGUGCUUACACAUGCUAGUCGAACGGAAAGGCCCUGAUUUUGUGGGGUGCACGAGUGGCCAACGGUCGAAUAACACACGGGUAACCAGACCUUGACUUGGCGAUAACUUCUUGAAACUGGGGCUAAUACCGGAUAGGAGCUCCUGCUGCAUGGUGGGGGUUGGAAAGUUACGACGUGAGGUCAUGGCACUCUCUCCUUAUCAUCUUGCCGGCGGGCUAGCGACAUAGCCCAGCUGUAACGAGGAGCCUGACUGAAAGGGUGACCCUCCACGUUGGAACUGACAUACCGUCCCAACACCUACGGUAAGCACCACCGUGGAAUAUUGGACAACGCUGGGAAGACUGAUACAUCUACCCCUCGAGCGGGAUGACGGACUUCAGGAUGUAAACCGGUUUCUCCUGUGACUAAGCAUGAGAGACGGUGAUGCGUCAAGAAUCCCCGGCUAACUACAUGCCAUCAACCGCCAAGAUACCUAUCGUGCUACCCAUGUCCAGAUUUAUUGGGCGUAAAGGGCUCGUAGGUGGUUGAUCGCGUCGGAAGUGUAAUCUGGGGGCGUAUCCUUGAGCGUGCUUUCGAUACGGGUUGACUGAUGGAAGGUAGGGGAGAGAGUAAUUCCCUGGUGGAGCGGUGGAAUGCGCACAUAUCAGGAGGAACACCAGUGGCGAAGGCGGCUCUCUGGGUUGCUUCUGACGCUGAGGAGCGAAAGCGUGUGGAGCGAACAGGCUUAGAUACCCUGGUAGUCCACGCUGUAAACGGUGGGUACUAGGCGUGGGGUCCAUUCCACGGGUUUAUCGCCGUAGCUAUCGCUUUAAGUACCCCGCCUGGGGAGUACUACCGCAAGGCUAAAACUCAAAGGAAUUGACGGGGGCCCCCACAAGCGGCGGAGCAUGCGGAUUAAUUUGAUGCAACGCGUAGAACCUUACCACCGUCUUGACAUGGAUCGGGAGUGCUCAGAGAUGGGUGUGCCUCUUUUGGGGUCGGUUCACAGGUGGUGCAUGGCUGUCUGUCAGCUCGUGUCGUGAGAUGUUGGGUUAAGUCCCGCAACGAGCGCAACCCUUGUUCACUGUAGCCAGCACGUUAUGGUGGGGACUCAGUGGAGACCGCCGGGGUCAACUCGGAGGAAGGUGGGGAUGACGUCAAGUCAUCAUGCCCCUUAUGUCCAGGGCUUCACGCAUGCUACAAUGGCUGGUACAGAGAGUGGCGAGCCUGUGAGGGUGAGCGAAUCUCGGAAAGCCGGUCUCAGUUCGGAUUGGGGUGUGCAUCUCGCCGUCAAGCAGUCGGAGUCGUUAGUAAUCGCAGAUCAGCAACGGUGCGGUGAAUACGUUCCCGGGGCU